Molecule: unclassified non-coding RNA, 358 nt
Filed under: Hevea brasiliensis (rubber tree)
Lineage: Eukaryota; Viridiplantae; Streptophyta; Magnoliopsida; Malpighiales; Euphorbiaceae
Source: RNAcentral
AUCCAGAUUUCAACAUCAACUGAGGCAUUAAUUUUAAUUAACAGAGAUUUUCCAGCCAUCAAAUCUUAAAUUCAAAUAAUACAAAAAGAAGAUACCAGGUCCAAAAUUUCUACAAAUGUUCCACUUGAAAAUCAUGUUUUAAUUAGUAAAGUGAAGAAAGUCAUCUAAAAUAUGUCCUGCUAUCCAGAUUUCAACAUCAACUGAGGCAUUAAUUUUAAUUAACAGAGAUUUUCCAGCCAUCAAAUCUUAAAUUCAAAUAAUACAAAAAGAAGAUACCAGGUCCAAAAUUUCUACAAAUGUUCCACUUGAAAAUCAUGUUUUAAUUAGUAAAGUGAAGAAAGUCAUCUAAAAUAUGUCC